AUGAAAUAUCAAUCUAUUAAAGAAGAAGCCAAAUACAGUACUAGGACAACCCACCAACAUAAUGCAAGUUACAUGAAACAUAAAUGUCACAGAAACAAAGUAAAAGACAAUUUGGUGGCCCACCCUCAACAUCCCCUUAACCAGAAUGAACCUAAAGAAAUGUACUUAGUAAUAAUCCUUUUACAUAAAUACCAGCAAUUGUGGCAUAACAACUCCCCAAGAGGAAAAAUAUCUAAGAAAUAAGAUGAAGAGGGAGCUAGGAGAAGGAAUACCAUACUGUAUACGUCUAUGUCCUAUAUGGAAAUUCUCCUGUGGUAACAGACAAGCUCAACCUCCAUCUGACUGGGUACCACAAGAGUUUUUAGAUUAAUUUUUUUUUUAAGGAAAAUAUCUGCCCAUCACCUAUUAUUUGUAUUUCUCUCAUGGAAAUUUUCUUCCUUUCCUGGGAAUGUAGACACUCUGUUCCUGUUGUGACUGACAUCUGAUAUGCUUAAUACUUGACAAUUAUAUAGCACCUUUCACCUAAGGAUCUGUUCUUUGGUUUGGGUCCACAUGUGUGUUAAAAAGCUUUCAGAAUUGCCUUGCCUCGCCUGUGUUGCAGAACCAGCAGGCCUACUGAAGAGCGGCCGCUCCAGCUGAUGUCAAAGCCAGAGUUGUCUCUGAACCUGGGAGCCCUGAUCCCCAACGUGGAAAAUUAGAUAAAACUUCCUCAACGUGUAUAAUUUAGAGGGAGAGGAACAGAUUGUGUUACAAGGAUCGAUAUCCAUCUCUCUCACAUUAUGUACUUAAACGUUGAUUGCACAGAGAGAGGUUCUUCAUAACAUACCCCUAAUAUAGCCCUGCUGUAAGUCUACCCCUUGUUCCCAUAAUUUGUGUGGUGUGUUCCACCACUGAAUUGGUCAUUAGUAGCUUUACAGAAACUCCAAAGAGCUGCCUUGGCUUUAAGCAAGAGGCCCAGCAAAGUCUGUAGCAAGAGGUCUCCGGGAGGGGACAGCUGUGUGAGGUCUGGUCCGGAUUCUGACCACGCCCCAGGCCUUCCACUGGGAAAAGGUCUCUUUCUCGGUUUCGCUGACCCACCACCUUGGCCUUAAUCCCUAUCUCUCUUCCUCCUAUUUUGUCACAAAUACCACUAAAUUCCGCAGAGCCAAAGAUCUGUUCCAAAGAGGGAUGGUUGGCUCAGUGGUCAAAGUCCUCCUGCGGGCCCUUCAGACGCUGCUGUUUUGCUUUGGGUCGGAAGGGCGGGAUGGCUUCCAGGCUUGGCCUACUCCGCGCAAAAGCAAUAUCUGCCCUGGCGGGGAACUUGUACCGCUAUGCUAACUUGGUGCAGUGGGUCUGAGGACUGAAUUCCC
This 1349-nucleotide long non-coding RNA is filed under the name Sus scrofa (pig). RNAcentral describes it as "lncRNA (ENSSSCG00045004917.1)". Lineage: Eukaryota; Metazoa; Chordata; Mammalia; Artiodactyla; Suidae. The record is from RNAcentral.